RNAcentral lists this ribosomal RNA (460 nucleotides) under uncultured bacterium. Its description in RNAcentral is "partial 16S ribosomal RNA". It matches the Rfam family "Bacterial small subunit ribosomal RNA", at positions 338 to 795 of the family's 1533-position model. The record is from RNAcentral.
CCUACGGGAGGCAGCAGUGAGGAAUAUUGGUCAAUGGACGCAAGUCUGAACCAGCCAUGCCGCGUGCAGGAAGACGGCUCUAUGAGUUGUAAACUGCUUUUGUACGAGGGUAAACGCAGAUACGCGUAUCUGUCUGAAAGUAUCGUACGAAUAAGGAUCGGCUAACUCCGUGCCAGCAGCCGCGGUAAUACGGAGGAUUCAAGCGUUAUCCGGAUUUAUUGGGUUUAAAGGGUGCGUAGGCGGUCGGAUAAGUUAGAGGUGAAAUCCCGAGGCUCAACUUCGGAAUUGCCUCUGAUACGGUGCGGCUAGAGCGUAGUUGCGGUAGGCGGAAUGUAUGGUGUAGCGGUAAAAUGCUUAGAGAUCAUACAGAACACCGAUUGCGAAGGCAGCUUACCAAGCUACUUCUGACGUUGAGGCGCGAAAGCGUGGGGAGCAAACAGGAUUAGAUACCCCUGUAGUC